CGUUGCACUAUCGUUAACUGAAUACAUAGGUUAACGAGGCGAACCGGGGGAACUGAAACAUCUAAGUACCCCGAGGAAAAGAAAUCAACCGAGAUUCCCCCAGUAGCGGCGAGCGAACGGGGAGCAGCCCGGAGUCUGAAUCAGCUUGUGUGUUAGUGGAACGGUCUGGAAAGUCCGACGGUACAGGGUGAUAGUCCCGUACACGAAAGCACACAUGCUGUGAACUCGAAGAGUAGGGCGGGACACGUGGUAUCCUGUCUGAAUAUGGGGGGACCAUCCUCCAAGGCUAAAUACUCCUGACUGACCGAUAGUGAACCAGUACCGUGAGGGAAAGGCGAAAAGAACCCCGGCGAGGGGAGUGAAAAAGAACCUGAAACCGUGUACGUACAAGCAGUGGGAGCCUCUUUAUGGGGUGACUGCGUACCUUUUGUAUAAUGGGUCAGCGACUUAUAUUCUGUAGCAAGGUUAACCGUAUAGGGGAGCCGAAGGGAAACCGAGUCUUAACUGGGCGUUAAGUUGCAGGGUAUAGACCCGAAACCCGGUGAUCUAGCCAUGGGCAGGUUGAAGGUUGGGUAACACUAACUGGAGGACCGAACCGACUAAUGUUGAAAAAUUAGCGGAUGACCUGUGGCUGGGGGUGAAAGGCCAAUCAAACCGGGAGAUAGCUGGUUCUCCCCGAAAGCUAUUUAGGUAGCGCCUCGUGAACUCAUCUUCGGGGGUAGAGCACUGUUUCGGCUAGGGGGCCAUCCCGGCUUACCAACCCGAUGCAAACUACGAAUACCGAAGAAUGUUAUCACGGGAGACACACGGCGGGUGCUAACGUCCGUCGUGAAGAGGGAAACAACCCAGACCGCCAGCUAAGGUCCCAAAGUCAUGGUUAAGUGGGAAACGAUGUGGGAAGGCACAGACAGCCAGGAUGUUGGCUUAGAAGCAGCCAUCAUUUAAAGAAAGCGUAAUAGCUCACUGGUCGAGUCGGCCUGCGCGGAAGAUGUAACGGGGCUAAACCAUGCACCGAAGCUGCGGCAGCGACGCUUAUGCGUUGUUGGGUAGGGGAGCGUUCUGUAAGCCGUUGAAGGUGUCCUGUGAGGGGUGCUGGAGGUAUCAGAAGUGCGAAUGCUGACAUAAGUAACGAUAAAGCGGGUGAAAAGCCCGCUCGCCGGAAGACCAAGGGUUCCUGUCCAACGUUAAUCGGGGCAGGGUGAGUCGACCCCUAAGGCGAGGCCGAAAGGCGUAGUCGAUGGGAAACAGGUUAAUAUUCCUGUACUUGGUGUUACUGCGAAGGGGGGACGGAGAAGGCUAUGUCAGCCGGGCGACGGUUGUCCCGGUUUAAGCAUGUAGGCGGAGGUUCCAGGUAAAUCCGGUACCUUGUUAACGCUGAGGUGUGAUGACGAGGCACUACGGUGCUGAAGUGAUAAAUGCCCUGCUUCCAGGAAAAGCCUCUAAGCAUCAGGUAACACGAAAUCGUACCCCAAACCGACACAGGUGGUCAGGUAGAGAAUACCAAGGCGCUUGAGAGAACUCGGGUGAAGGAACUAGGCAAAAUGGUGCCGUAACUUCGGGAGAAGGCACGCUGAUGUGUAGGUGAAGUCCCUGCGGACGGAGCUGAAAUCAGUCGAAGAUACCAGCUGGCUGCAACUGUUUAUUAAAAACACAGCACUGUGCAAACACGAAAGUGGACGUAUACGGUGUGACGCCUGCCCGGUGCCGGAAGGUUAAUUGAUGGGGUUAGCGGCAACGCGAAGCUCUUGAUCGAAGCCCCGGUAAACGGCGGCCGUAACUAUAACGGUCCUAAGGUAGCGAAAUUCCUUGUCGGGU
RNAcentral lists this ribosomal RNA (1815 nucleotides) under human gut metagenome. RNAcentral describes it as "bacterial LSU rRNA". It matches the Rfam family "Bacterial large subunit ribosomal RNA", at positions 141 to 1977 of the family's 2925-position model. The record is from RNAcentral.